Molecule: ribosomal RNA, 393 nt
Filed under: uncultured bacterium
Lineage: Bacteria
Description: partial 16S ribosomal RNA
Rfam family: Bacterial small subunit ribosomal RNA
Source: RNAcentral
AUACGGAGGAUGCAAGCGUUAUCCGGAUUUAUUGGGUUUAAAGGGUGCGUAGGCGGUUUGCUAAGCGGGAGGUGAAAUGCCGGCGCUCAACGUCGGAAGUGCCUCCCGAACUGGUGGACUGGAAUGACUCUGCCGUGGGAGGAAUGUGUAGUGUAGCGGUGAAAUGCUUAGAGAUUACACAGAACACCGAUUGCGAAGGCAUCUCACGAAGGGUUGAUUGACGCUGAGACACGAAAGCGUGGGGAUCAAACAGGAUUAGAUACCCUGGUAGUCCACGCAGUAAACGAUGAUGGCUAACCGCUGGAUCUAGCGGUUCAGUGGCCAAGCGAAAGCGAUAAGCCAUCCACCUGGGGAGUACGACCGCAAGGUUGAAACUCAAAUGAAUUGACGGGG